RNAcentral lists this ribosomal RNA (332 nucleotides) under uncultured Bacillota bacterium. RNAcentral's name for it is "bacterial SSU rRNA". It matches the Rfam family "Bacterial small subunit ribosomal RNA", at positions 28 to 351 of the family's 1533-position model. The record is from RNAcentral. Lineage: Bacteria; Bacillati; Bacillota.
GACGAACGCUGGCGGCGUGCCUAACACAUGCAAGUCGAACGGAGAUACUUUUGAAGCUUGCGAUAAAGUAUCUUAGUGGCGGACGGGUGAGUAACGCGUGGGUAAUCUGCCCAUAAGUGGGGGACAACAGUUGGAAACGACUGCUAAUACCGCAUAUGGUGAUUUAUCAUUAAAGGAGGCCUCUUAACAAUGCUUCCGCUUAUGGAUGAGCCCGCGUCUGAUUAGCUAGUUGGUGGGGUAAAGGCCUACCAAGGCGACGAUCAGUAGCCGGCCUGAGAGGGUGAACGGCCACACUGGGACUGAGACACGGCCCAGACACCUACGGGUGGCUG